Ictalurus punctatus (channel catfish) is the source of this 3799-nucleotide long non-coding RNA. NCBI's taxonomy places the organism in Eukaryota, Metazoa, Chordata, Actinopteri, Siluriformes, Ictaluridae. The record is from Ensembl.
AGAGAGAGAGAGACAGAGAGAGAGAGAGAGAGAAAAGAGAGGCUGGUUAAAGAAGGACUGUUUAUAGGGGCUAUAACGUUUGAAAAUCACGCAGAACGCUGCCGUGAGCUGUUUGUGUUCCUGCUUUGGCUGAAGAGUGUUGACACUUCCCAAAGCCAAGAACAAAUGCUAUGAGAGGUGAAGCCAAAAAUGAUACCAAACACGAGAUGAAGGAACGGCACCCGAGCCGAAUUAAACCACGGAUAUGACAUAUUGGUGCACGGUGAUGACAUCAGACGUUGAAGACGGGUUAUUAAGGAUGCAGGAUCAUGUCAGCCAUCUGGUGAUAUUUAUUUCGUUUUUAUUUGAUCUAAUUUGCAGUUUGUUUUCAUCUCUUGGUUAAUAAUUCAUGACCCUUCUUCUUAGUUACAUAAGAGGUUGCAGUACCAGAGGGUUAGAAUCAAAUAAAAUAUAAAAAAUGCAAAUAUGUUUUCAAAUUCAAUCCGAAUCCAGAACUCAACAGCACUGUGAUAUAGAGUCAAAUAGCUCAGGUACAUGGUCUGGACUUGUCCAUGGUUUUAUACUAGACACAGAAUCAACGGUGCAUUCGGCUUAUUUUACAGAUUUAUUUUGAUUGUUUCUCCUCUGGGGUUCAUUCCACAGUUUGGCUAUCACUGAUGUUUGGUUGGAUGUUUUGGUUGGAUUUCAUUCAAGUCUGGUGUUAAUACUGUCGAAACGUUCUAGUAUUAUUCUACUGUAUCUAGCUAUAGUACGUCAUGUGACAUCAACCCCCCAAUCCCACCCCACCCCGGAAGAUGAUUAAUAUCUAUUCCUUUGUGAGACUUUACCUCGGUUCCAUCAUCCAUAUCAUUCCUUCAGUCUUCUAGUGUAUGUUGCUCGAGUGCAAUCAAGCGUGUGCGCCGUGACAGACGGUGAUCAUCGGGGGUUUGAGAGUGAGUAAGAGCUCAGAGAGCGAAGAGAUUGCAUUUCUGCAUAAGACCAAUCAGAGUUCCCCAGUAGGAUCUUCCCAUCAUCACAGGCCCAUUUGAGAAGUUCAUCAGUAGAAGCAUUAAUCCUGGUAAUUUCAGCCCUGCUGUUCUUUGGCUGUCAGAUGCAUCAGGCCACAUCGGAGAACAGCACUAAAGCGGCAAGGAAGCCUUGUGCCGUUCUUCGAUAAUUAGACUGCCAUGUGUUCGUCCCUACAAGGUAAAAUGGCUCUUGUUAAAUGAAGAGCUGUCACAAUUUAAUUGUCUCCGCUGAGACUCGCAGGGAAAAAGGAAAGGGGGUGAGCUGUAAUCCUGCAAACACGGCCUAAAUCAUGAGAACGCGGAGGCUGAAGAAUGACUUGAGCCUCUGGAUCGCAUCGGCGCAUCAUUUCCUGUUGGAGGACACCGCGACUUCGUGGCAGUUUGGAUUAAAGAGAGAGCAGCUAUUUUAAAAGUGAUCUCUCUCUCUUUCUCCCUCAUGUCAUUCUGGGACACUGUUGAGUUGAGGGAGGAAAAAAUCAAUUUAUGUUUACUCGGUUUUCAGCCGGACAUAUUGAUCUUGCGGCUAGAUUAAAACGCCAGCGCUUUUUAGAACCCGCCUUAAAGUCACAGUCGGGGAUUUCAGAACGACAAAGUGGUGUCCCAAGCAAUUUCAAUCUCACAAAGACAGCAGCUGGGGGCCAUCCCGCUCCUCUAAACCGAACCUGAUCUUACAACUGUUACCACUCAGAGUGAUUUCUCUGGAUUUCAAGAACGUGAAUAAUAAGAAGAAAUGAUAAAAGCUACACCAAACACUUGCCUUUAAAGAUACACAGGCGUCAGUUCUUCUGAACGUGUAUCAAUAACCCCAUGCUGCUAAAGCAAUAAUCAUCCUCGGUUGGUGAAUUGCUCAGGUGGCAUUCAUGAAUUUUCCAGAACAGCAGCACUGACAGCAGUGCAGCUGGAAAUCACAGGUAUAUAUUUAUGCCCUUUAUCGUUUCUAUAGUAACAGCUUAUCCAUACGGACGUGCACGGCGGACGCUCCACGUCAACGGAAUAAACGUGUGUGUAAUUAUUGAUGUGGUGAAAUGUUCUGUAAGGAAAUAUUUCACGUUUAUGUAAGGAGUCUCCAGUGUCAGCGCUUUGUAGCAGCUGGAACUUUAUUUCCGACGUGGCUCGUGCGUUACGGUGUUUAAGGUGUGUGAGAGAGGAAAGAGCGGCUGAUCAGGGGGAUGACUGUUAUGAUGGAAGUGAGAACAGGAACUAAUUAACUGUAACUACACUCGGAUGAAACGUACGGCGAGUAAAAACGUGUCAUUGUUGACAGACUGAUGUCGUGUUAGAGCAAUAAACCGUGUUUGAAAGCGCUGUUAUAGGAAAAUAAUCAGCUUCGCCACAUUAUUGUUUUCUUUCCUUUCCCGUAAUAGCGGGACACUGAGUGUUAGAAUCGUGAAGCGAUUUCUUGUAGCGGGUGUCGUAACGUGAAUAUCGGAUAGGAAUGAAAACGGGACAAACAAAUAAAAUGAGACUGUUUUUUAUUUUCUAUCAGACGUUCUGGAUUUUUCUGCAAUUUAUGCCGAAAAUAUGGUAUACGUUGCGUUCUGUAGUAGCUCUGUCUGCCAUUAGGGUGCCUAUAUUAAAGGAUGCUCAGCAAUAUGAAGAGAUUUUACAUUCACUACAGAACAAUGGCGCUUUUCUGAUUUCUGUAUAUGCGUCGGGUGUACCGAGGUCUCAGCCUCCGUCACCGACAGCCUCCAUUACGCUGGAUUGUGCUAGUACCGUGUGCUCAAAAUGGCCUCUUUACGCUCCUGAAUGAUAAUGAGUAUUUUAGACUCAUUUACUGCAAAAUGGAUCGGCGAGACCCAGAGUGACCACUUGUUGGACUUCAGAGGCUGGCCUCGAGCAAAUCUAUUGGAAUAAGAGAUAAAAGACGGUGACGAUUAUCGGGAGCGCUCCUCGGGAGAUGGUGUCGUUAAUGAAGUUAAAAUCUUUAAAAGGCUGAAAAAGAAAAAAAUGGUUUUAUAAAAUGUGGUUGUUGUUGUUUUUUUGUUUUUUUUCAAAGCGUAGUCCAGGAUUUUUUGACUAAACGAGCUGCUUGGCCAUGUGGAAAACUAGCUAAAGUCAUUUAGGGGAAGUGACUGCAACAGGAAGUAAGAAGUGAUGCCAAAUUGUGCUUGGGGCAGUGGUGGCUUGGUGGUUAAGGCGUUGGGUUACUGAUCCGAAGGUCAGUACUGCUACUGUUGGGCCCUUGAGCAUGGCCUUAACCCUCUUUGCUCCAGGGGGCGCUGUAUCAUGGCUGACCUUGCACUCUGACCCCAACUUCCUGACAUGCUGGGGUAUGUGAAGAAAAGAAUUUCACUGUGUUGUAAUGUGUACGUGACUUAUUAUCAUUUAUAACGUAUUCAUGCUAGAUUAAAAUCACUGUAUUAGCUGUACACACUUAUUUCUUUUUUUAAACGAUUAUGACGCUUAAUAUAAAGUUUAAGACUUUAUAGAGCCAAACACGUUGUCAUGUGUUGACCAACAUAGUGAUUCAUGAUUGAAAAUUCACACAGACUCUUUUUGAUCCGAAUGAUAUUAAUGCUCCAGAGUAAAAACUGGGGUUGAAUCUCAUAACUUUAACUACAAAUAUCUAAGGUGAGGUUACAUCCUGUAACGAUGGGGCUCGGAAUAAAACGUUACCUGAACCCGAUGUUGUUUUUUUCACUUACAGCUACUUCUGAAUGCAGUUAAAUAUCUGUCUGUCUGUCUGUCUGUCUGUCUAUCUGUCUGUCUGUCUGUCUAUCUAUCUGUCUAUCUAUCUGUCUGUCUAUCUAUCCGUCUGUCUGUCAAUCUAUUUAUCUAUCUAUUCAUCU